Molecule: ribosomal RNA, 742 nt
Filed under: uncultured bacterium
Lineage: Bacteria
Description: bacterial SSU rRNA
Rfam family: Bacterial small subunit ribosomal RNA
Source: RNAcentral
AGAGUUUGAUCAUGGCUCAGAACGAACGCUGGCGGCAGGCUUAACACAUGCAAGUCGAACGCAUCCUUCGGGGUGAGUGGCAGACGGGUGAGUAACGCGUGGGAACGUGCCCUUCAGUUCGGAAUAACCCAGGGAAACUUGGGCUAAUACCGGAUACGUGCGAGAGCAGAAAGAUUUAUCGCUGAAGGAUCGGCCCGCGUCUGAUUAGCUAGUUGGUAGGGUAAUGGCCUACCAAGGCGACGAUCAGUAGCUGGUCUGAGAGGAUGAUCAGCCACAUUGGGACUGAGACACGGCCCAAACUCCUACGGGAGGCAGCAGUGGGGAAUAUUGGACAAUGGGCGCAAGCCUGAUCCAGCCAUGCCGCGUGAGUGAUGAAGGCCUUAGGGUUGUAAAGCUCUUUCGUCCGGGACGAUAAUGACGGUACCGGAAGAAGAAGCCCCGGCUAACUUCGUGCCAGCAGCCGCGGUAAUACGAAGGGGGCUAGCGUUGUUCGGAAUCACUGGGCGUAAAGGGCGCGUAGGCGGCUUGAUAAGUCGGGGGUGAAAGCCUGUGGCUCAACCACAGAAUUGCCCUCGAUACUGUCUGGCUUGAGACCGGAAGAGGUAAGUGGAACUGCGAGUGUAGAGGUGAAAUUCGUAGAUAUUCGCAAGAACACCAGUGGCGAAGGCGGCUUACUGGUCCGGUUCUGACGCUGAGGCGCGAAAGCGUGGGGAGCAAACAGGAUUAGAUACCCUAGUAGUCC